Molecule: long non-coding RNA, 429 nt
Organism: Oreochromis aureus
Lineage: Eukaryota; Metazoa; Chordata; Actinopteri; Cichliformes; Cichlidae
Source: Ensembl
AGAGAUCCAAGACCUGAAACACAAGGAGAGUGGAAAGAAAGCGUCGUGAAAUCUGGAGGGAACCUCCAGGUUUCCACGCCGGCUGUGACGGACACUUAGAAGCGGGUGAGAUAGAUAUCACAGUGCUGGAGCCCAGGAAGAGACCCAAGACCUGAAACACAAGGAGAGUGGAAAGAAAGCGUUGUGCAAUAUGGAGGGAACUUCCAGGUUUCCACGCUGGUUGUGACGGACACUUAGAAGCGGGUGAGAUGGAUAUCAGAGUGCAGGAGCCCAGGAACAGAUCCAAGACCUGAAACAUAAGUGGAGUGGAAAGAAAGCAUUGUGAACUCUGGAGGGAACGUCCAAGUUUCCACGCCGGCUGUGACGGACACUUAGAAGCGGGUGAGAUGGAUAUCAGUGUGCAGGAGCCCACAAAGAGGUCCAAGACCU